ACUCCUACGGGAGGCAGCAGUGGGGAAUUUUGGACAAUGGGCGCAAGCCUGAUCCAGCAAUGCCGCGUGCAGGAAGAAGGCCUUCGGGUUGUAAACUGCUUUUGUACGGAGCGAAAAAGCCUCCUCUAAUACGGGAGGCUGAUGACGGUACCGUAAGAAUAAGCACCGGCUAACUCCGUGCCAGCAGCCGCGGUAAUAC
This 199-nucleotide ribosomal RNA is filed under the name uncultured bacterium. RNAcentral describes it as "partial 16S ribosomal RNA". It matches the Rfam family "Bacterial small subunit ribosomal RNA", at positions 335 to 526 of the family's 1533-position model. The record is from RNAcentral.